UAAAAAUGUAAAUAGGCAAUACUUGCCAGCUAAAAGAUUGACAUUGCCAUAUUUUUUAAUUCCACUAUAAAAUAGCUAUACUAAUAUGAGACAAAAUGCCUUUUAAAAUGAAAGUGUUGCUUUCCUGCUCCCAACAUGGCAGCCUCAGCAAAAAAGAAGAAUAAGAAGGGAAAAACUAUCUCCCUAACAGACUUUCUGGCUGAGGAUGGGACUGGUGGAGGAAGCACCUUUGUUUUCAAACCAGUCAGCUGGGCUGAUGAAACAGAUGACCUGGAAGGAGGUGUUUCAACAACUUGGCACAGUAAUGAUAACAAUGUGUACAGGGCGCCUGCAAUUGACCGUUCAAUCCUUCCCACUGCUCCACGGGCUGCUCGGGAACCCAAUAUCGACUGCAGCCUUCUUCCCAAAUCGCCCCCCUACACUGCUUUUCUACGGAACCUACCCUAUGAUGUGACAGAAGAGUCAAUUAAGGAAUUCUUUAGAGGAUUAAGUAUCAGGGCAGUGCGUUUACCACGUGAACCCAGCAAUCCAGAGAGGUUGAAAGGUUUUGGUCAUGUUGAAUUUGAGGACCUGGAUUCCCUGCUCAGUGCCCUGAGUCUCAGUGAAGAGUCUCUAGGUAACAGGAGAAUUGGAGUGGACGUUGCUGAUCAAGCACAGGAUAAAGACAGGGACGAUCAUUCUUUUGGCCGUGAUAGAAAUCGGGAUUCUGACAAAACAGAUACAGACUGGAGGGCUCGUUCUGCCACAGACAGCUUUGAUGACCACCCGCCUAGAAGGGGUGAUGAUAGCUUUGGAGACAAGUUUCGAGAUCGUUAUGAUUCAGACCGGUAUGGCAAUGGGUAUUGGGAUGAGUAUCCGGAUGGCCCAUGCCAGGAUAUGGAUCGAUAUGGCGGUAGGGAUCGCUAUGAUGACCGAGGCAGCAGAGACUAUGCUAGAGGCUAUGAUUGCUGGAUAGGCAGUGGCAGAGGGCAUUUGGCAGUGGGUACCGCAGGGACGAUGACUACAGAGGAAGCAGGGAGCGCUAUGAAGACCGAUACAACAGACGGGAUGAUGGGUCGUGCAGCUCCAGAGAUAAUUACUCUCAGGAUGAUUAUAGGUGUGAUGAUAGACGGUCCCCACCCAAAGACCCAAACUGAAUCUAAAGACUCAUAAUACUCCUAAGGGAGAUGAUUCUUCUGCUAGUACCUCACAUUCCAGUCGAGCUGCUUCUGUCUUUGGAGGGGCAAAGCCCGUUGAUACAGCUGCUAGAGAAAGAGAAGUGGAAGAACAGCUACAGAAGGAACAAGAGAAGUUGCAGUGUCAGUUGAAUGAGCCAAAACUAGAACGACGGCCUCGGGAGAGAGACACUCAAGCUGGCGAAGUGAAGAAACUCAGGAACCAGAACGGUCGAGGACAGGAAGUGAGUCAUCGCAGACUGGGACCUCCGCCACACCCGGCAGAAGUCAGUCAGACCAGGAUGCAGGAAGAAGAGAGGGUGAGGAGUCUCUAGAAAAUGAAACACUCAAUAAGAAGAAAGAUUGUCACUCUCCAACUUCUAAAUCUCCCAAACCUGAUCAGCCCCUAAAGGUAAUGCCAGCCCCUCCACCAAAGGAGAAUGCUUGGGUGAAGUGAGGUUCUAACCCUCCUGCCCCAUCUCAGAGCUCAGACACAGAGCACCAACACCCUACAAGUGGUGGGGGAAAGGUAACUCCAGCUCAACCGUCUGAGGAAAGACCAGCAAGGAAAGAUGAAAUAAAGUAGGUGGGAUGAAUGUCCCAAAAGACCACACUGGGAACUCUAGCUGUGGUCCAGGAGACCCAGGAAACAAAGACCACGGGAAGGAGUCAGAUAGGAAAGACGGCAAAAAGGAUCAAGACUCCAGAUCUGCACCUGAGCCAAAGAAACCUGAGGAAAACCCAGCUUCCAAAUUCAGUUCUGCAAGCAGGUACUCUGCUCUCUCCGUUGAUGGUGAAGAUGAAAACAAGGGAGAAGAUUACACCGAAUAAACCUUGACAUCCUGUGCUUUCUCCUAUUUUCUCUCCACCCUGGAACAUUUGAGAGCAAAUUAAACCUCUAUGCAGACAAGACAAAGUAAAACUCAUCAUCUCCUGGAGACCUUUCUUGCCUUUAAAAAAAAAAAAAUGAAAUUCUUUCGCAUGCUUCUGCAGCCUUUAAAGUGUUGAAGUUAACUGGAGAAUCACCAGCAUAGCCAGAGAGAAAGAGACUACAGCUUUUUAGUGGAAAAGUUGUUGUGCGUGGUGUCACCAUACAGUUGCCAGUGUGAUUAGUGCCUAGGGGUCUCCAUUUAGCAGAAAUGAUAAUGACAGUGAUAUAGCAUCUGGAAUCUGGUUGGGCAGUAGGGGAGGAAGGUAUAAGGAAAAAUGUGAGAUUUCUACCUUUCCGUUUUCAUCCUAUUGUGGCAUAUGUGAUUUCUCUAACAUUAUCUGAAUAAAUUUUCCCCUCUUGGAAAGGUAGAUUUAGCCUCAAGCUGUUUUAAUCUUCAGGAGGCUGCCAGCCCCUCCUCUUAUUUAAUUCUGAGUUUUGGGGGCCAGCCUAGGGGGAAUUCCUUCAUUUUCUUUUUACCCCCCAGCGGGGUAGUUGGGAGUGAGUCUACAAGCCAUAAAGAAUAGGACUGCAUUGGACUAAAAUAAAUGGGAAAAUCAUGGUUUGAAAAGAAGCUUUGGGGAGGUGAUGAGUCAUUUUGCACCAGGCAAUAGGGGAAAAUUGUGACCUCCAGCAAACACAUGAAUGGUUAUUUCCCGGAGCCGGAAGCACUUGGGGGUCGUGGUAACUCCCAAUGUUUUGUGUGUCCUGGUUUUACCCUUUCUAAACACUGUGUUUUUUGAAAGUUCAAAUAUAUCCACAUUCUGUUGAAACCUUGAAACUUUAAAAAUUUAGACUCUUGUUGUCAUCUUAAGUUCUUCAUGCUACUCUUAACCUCCCAAAAAGCAGUCUCUAGGUCACAUAGAUGACCUCUUGGGCAUUUUCUCUCUCAGCCAUGGAGAGCUGUGAAAGGAAGAAUCGCUGCUUUUCUCAAGCAAAUCAGUUUCUUGAUGUCUUUUGGUUCUCACUCCUUGCCUGCUCCUGACGCUUUGACCCCUUUUGUAGAUCAGAGUGCUCUAGAAUAAUGGAUGGUCUUGGUGGUGAAUAAAGGUAGAUAAAUAGGGACUGGGACAGUUAAAUUGGGAGCCUUUCUUACAACCUUGGUGUGUUUUUUCCCCCAAGUUUCCUUCUCCACUGAAAUGCCACACCAAUGCUUGUUGGAUUUAUGAGGUGGCCAGACCAAUGUGUUGUUUUUUUAUUUUUCUUUUUCUUUUAAGCUUCCCUUGAGAGAAUAAAUGGUAAUGAAGAGAACUAUUUAAAAAGGUCCUGGUUUCUCUUGCAACACAGUAGCUAAACUUGCCUGCUUUUAUAUGCAUUUUUGUAGGGAUCUGCCUCAUAGACAGUAUUAGCAGAGAAAUGACACCUCGAUCUUGGUCUUGAUUUGCAAGCCCUUCUCCCACCAAUCCUAGAUCAGGCCCUGUUCGGCCAUGUAGGGGUGUUGGUUUAUGCGUGCUGCAGCAGUGGGCAUAAUGAACAUAAUUUAGCCACGGACAAAGGUGUGUACCAAGUAAAUUUAAAUAAUUGGUGUGGAUUGGCUAGUAGCUAAGUGGGCUUUUAAAGAAAUACUGAACAAUGAAAGGGUUUUUUUUUUAAAAGAAAAAAAAAUUGAUUGUAGAUAAUGAAAAGCUAGGGUUUGCCUCUUCAUGUCUACUCUCCUUCCAAAUGGUUGUAUCCAAAACUGUUUUUCCCUCUGCCCUACCUUGCCCCCCUGUUAAAAUGGAAACGGGGAUUGAUUAAUGUCCCACUCAUGAAUACAUGUAAAAUUUGUACAAAAAUAUCUUCUAUGAAAAUGACUUACAAUCUGUAGACUUAUUACCUGGGAGAUGUCUUGAGAUAUAAAAUCCCAUCCUUUGGGUUGUGGGUUUUUUGUUUUCUCCAAAUAAAUUUGAUCUUUACAGUUCAAAAAAAAUCAAAAAAUAAAAACAAAAAUAAAAUAAAAGUGUUAAAAAUAGAGACACUAUGUAGUGAUUAAGGUUCAAUGGUUCAAUUCACCAAAAAAGUAUUAUUCUAAGUGUAAAUGUACCUAAUAUUAGCCUCAAAAAUUUUUUUAAGGCCGGG
Molecule: RNA transcript, 4140 nt
Organism: Cercocebus atys (sooty mangabey)
Lineage: Eukaryota; Metazoa; Chordata; Mammalia; Primates; Cercopithecidae
Gene name: eukaryotic translation initiation factor 4B pseudogene
Exons: 1
Source: RefSeq, a predicted model, not a curated record